This 510-nucleotide ribosomal RNA is filed under the name Halovibrio variabilis. Its description in RNAcentral is "bacterial SSU rRNA". It matches the Rfam family "Bacterial small subunit ribosomal RNA", at positions 74 to 587 of the family's 1533-position model. Lineage: Bacteria; Pseudomonadati; Pseudomonadota; Gammaproteobacteria; Oceanospirillales; Halomonadaceae. The record is from RNAcentral.
UCUAGCUUGCUAGUCGCUGACGAGCGGCGGACGGGUGAGUAAUGCAUAGGAAUCUGCCCGAUAGUGGGGGAUAACCUGGGGAAACCCAGGCUAAUACCGCAUACGUCCUACGGGAGAAAGGGGGCUUCGGCUCCCGCUAUCGGAUGAGCCUAUGUCGGAUUAGCUAGUUGGUGAGGUAAAGGCUCACCAAGGCGACGAUCCGUAGCUGGUCUGAGAGGAUGAUCAGCCACAUCGGGACUGAGACACGGCCCGAACUCCUACGGGAGGCAGCAGUGGGGAAUAUUGGACAAUGGGGGCAACCCUGAUCCAGCCAUGCCGCGUGUGUGAAGAAGGCCUUAGGGUUGUAAAGCACUUUCAGCGAGGAAGAACGCCUGGCGGUUAAUACCCGCCAGGAAAGACAUCACUCGCAAAAAAGCACCGGCUAACUCCGUGCCAGCAGCCGCGGUAAUACGGAGGGUGCAAGCGUUAAUCGAAUUACUGGGCGUAAAGCGCGCGUAGUGGCUUGAUAAC